AACAGGAAGAAGCUUGCUUCUUUGCUGACGAGUGGCGGAGCGGGUGAGUAAUGUCUGGGAAACUGCCUGAUGGAGGGGGAUAACUACUGGAAACGGUAGCUAAUACCGCAUAACGUCGCAAGACCAAAAAGGGGGACCUUCGGGCCUCUUGCCAUCGGAUGUGCCCAGAUGGGAUUAGCUAGUAGGUGGGGUAACGGCUCACCUAGGCGACGAUCCCUAGCUGGUCUGAGAGGAUGACCAGCCACACUGGAACUGAGACACGGUCCAGACUCCUACGGGAGGCAGCAGUGGGGAAUAUUGCACAAUGGGCGCAAGCCUGAUGCAGCCAUGCCGCGUGUAUGAAGAAGGCCUUCGGGUUGUAAAGUACUUUCAGCGGGGAGGAAGGGAGUAAAGUUAAUACCUUUGCUCAUUGACGUUACCCGCAGAAGAAGCACCGGCUAACUCCGUGCCAGCAGCCGCGGUAAUACGGAGGGUGCAAGCGUUAAUCGGAAUUACUGGGCGUAAAGCGCACGCAGGUGGUUUGUUAAGUCAGAUGUGAAAUCCCCGGGCUCAACCUGGGAACUGCAUCUGAUACUGGCAAGCUUGAGUCUCGUAGAGGGGGGUAGAAUUCCAGGUGUAGCGGUGAAAUGCGUAGAGAUCUGGAGGAAUACCGGUGGCGAAGGCGGCCCCCUGGACGAAGACUGACGCUCAGGUG
Molecule: ribosomal RNA, 694 nt
Filed under: uncultured Pseudomonadota bacterium
Lineage: Bacteria; Pseudomonadati; Pseudomonadota
Description: bacterial SSU rRNA
Rfam family: Bacterial small subunit ribosomal RNA
Source: RNAcentral